GGACCCGCACAAGUAGUGGAGCAUGUGGUUUAAUUCGAAGAUACGCGCAGAACCUUACCAACACUUGACAUGUUCGUCGCGACUCUAAGAGAUUAGAGUUUUCGGUUCGGCCGGACGAAACACAGGUGCUGCAUGGCUGUCGUCAGCUCGUGUCGUGAGAUGUUGGGUUAAGUCCCGCAACGAGCGCAACCCUCACUUUUAGUUGCCAUCAUUUAGUUGGGCACUCUGAAAGAACUGCCAGUGAUAAGCUGGAGGAAGGUGGGGAUGACGUCAAGUCCUCAUGGCCCUUACGUGUUGGGCUACACACGUGCUACAAUGGUAUCUACAAAAGGAAGCAAGACCGCGAGGUUAAG
This 353-nucleotide ribosomal RNA is filed under the name uncultured bacterium. RNAcentral's name for it is "bacterial SSU rRNA". It matches the Rfam family "Bacterial small subunit ribosomal RNA", at positions 917 to 1267 of the family's 1533-position model. The record is from RNAcentral.